RNAcentral lists this ribosomal RNA (507 nucleotides) under uncultured bacterium. Its description in RNAcentral is "bacterial SSU rRNA". It matches the Rfam family "Bacterial small subunit ribosomal RNA", at positions 31 to 507 of the family's 1533-position model. The record is from RNAcentral.
GAACGCUGGCGGCGUGCUUAACACAUGCAAGUCGAACGAGAAGAGAUGAGAAGCUUGCUUCUUAUCAAUUCGAGUGGCAAACGGGUGAGUAACGCGUAAGCAACCUGCCCUUCAGAUGGGGGACAACAGCUGGAAACGGCUGCUAAUACCGAAUACGUUCUUUUUGUCGCAUGGCAGAGAGAAGAAAGGGAGGCUCUUCGGAGCUUUCGCUGAAGGAGGGGCUUGCGUCUGAUUAGCUAGUUGGAGGGGUAACGGCCCACCAAGGCGACGAUCAGUAGCCGGUCUGAGAGGAUGAACGGCCACAUUGGGACUGAGACACGGCCCAGACUCCUACGGGAGGCAGCAGUGGGGAAUCUUCCGCAAUGGACGAAAGUCUGACGGAGCAACGCCGCGUGAACGAUGACGGCCUUCGGGUUGUAAAGUUCUGUUAUACGGGACGAAUGGCGUAGCGGUCAAUACCCGUUACGAGUGACGGUACCGUAAGAGAAAGCCACGGCUAACUACGUG